Pygocentrus nattereri (red-bellied piranha) is the source of this 3260-nucleotide long non-coding RNA. NCBI's taxonomy places the organism in Eukaryota, Metazoa, Chordata, Actinopteri, Characiformes, Serrasalmidae. The record is from Ensembl.
GGAGAGUUACAGCACUUCUUUAACCGAUUUCAUAGCGUCAACAUUAAAGCAGCUGUUUAAAUACAGCGCUUGAUGUGUUCAUUAAAUAUGAGGCAAAGAAAGAUCCGCAGAGCUGUGCGUCACUCUCUGCGUCACAGAUGUGAAAGUGAAAGUAAGUUGUUGGGAGAGGCGCAGAGACGGAGACACGCAGAGGAUGAACUGUCAGUGAACGCCGGUCUUCAGUGUCCUACAGGGUUUCCUGUUGAUGUAGCUGAGCUAUGGAGUCCUGUAGCCCUGCUCACUGUGUCCUGAUCUUACUGAUCAUCACAUUCACUGCUGUGUAUGUGUCAGCUGUUCCUCUAGUGAAGGUGAAGCUUCAUGACUCUGCUACUCUGCCCUGCUCUGAGACAUGUUCUGGUUUGGUCAGAUGGACUGAGUUCAGUAAUCGCACUGAUGUUCUGGCUGAGUGUGAUCAGACUUCAUGUAGAUCAGUGAAGGAGGGAUAUCAGAUGAUCCAUGAUCAGUACCUGAAGGGAGAUUUCUCUCUCACCAUCACUGACGCUGAUUUCAGUAUGAUGGGCACGUACACAUGUGAGUGCGGUAAUUCUGAACUCUGUGAUGUGGAGCUUCAGGUUGAGGACACACCACAGGCAGGGAACAAUAUUUCUGGCAGCAGUCAUACUAAAGGAACGUCCCACGGAGCUCCACAGGUGUCUGUUCCAGGGUGGGCGACUGCUCUGAUACUUCUCACAGUGGCGCUGGUGAUUCUGGUGUUGGUGUUGGUGUUUUUUAUGAGGAGCCACAAUCAGAGCAUCAGAAGUACAAAUGAGCAGAUUAACAGCAUAGAAAAGACCCUCACAGACAGACUUGCUUCUCUGGAGAGCACUGUUGUCCAGAAUCGUGACCAGAUUAAGAGCACAGAAGAUACCCUCAAAAAGAGACUUGAUUCUUUGGAGAAGACUGGUGAGCAGAAUCGUGACCAGAUUAAGAGCACAGAAGAUACCCUCAAAAAGAGACUUGAUUCUAUGGAGAAGACUGGGAAGCAGAACAGUGACCAGAUUAACAGCAUAGAAAAGACCCUCAAAGAGAAACUUGCUUCUUUGGAGAGCACUGUGAAGCAGAACAGUGAGCAGAACAGUGAGCAGAUUAACUGCAUAGAAAAGACCCUCAAAGAGAAACUUGCUUCUUUGGAGAGGACUGUUGUCCAGAAUCGUGACCAGAUUAAGAGCACAGAAGAUACCCUCAAAAAGAGACUUGAUUCUAUGGAGAAGACUGGUGUCCAGAAUUGUGACCAGAUUAAGAGCACAGAAGAUACCCUCAAAAAGAGACUUGAUUCUAUGGAGAAGACUGGAAACACCGUAAAGACCCCGACACUCUGACACCCCGACCAGCAGCAGCUCAGCUGUGUCUGAUUUCAUCUUCAGCUGAUUGCAGAGCAUCUGAAGCAGCUGUAAGGCAGCAUGUUCACCCUUCAGCUCCUGAUAGAAGUGUGGAUGAGUUCCUCUCAGAGCUCACAGCUCACUAUCACACACACAGUGUUUAUAUAGAAGUGGACGUGUAGGAGUGAACCAGUGAUGAUCAGCCAGCAGCAGCUCUGACUGUUUAAAAGUGAUCAGGUAUUGAUUGUGUAAUAGAGCACUGAGUUGGCUGUAGAUGGAUCACUGUGCUGUGGAUCUAAAUGCCUUUACACACUGAACCAGAUAUAAAAAUAAACACAAAUGUUAAACAUCUAAACUGUAAAAUGAACAAACGGUCAGAAGGUCUGUGUAGAAGAUCCUGCGCUCCUCACUCUCUACUCUGUAAAAGCUAAAGGAGAGCAGAGAGCUUCACCCAGAUCAGAUCUCCAGAACUCAGUCUGAGCUGCUUCUGGAGGUGCAAAACUAAUAGACCAAACAGAAUAAUGUUAUAAUGUUCACCCCCCAAAAAUCUCACUCAGGGUGAUCAAUUAUAUAUAUAUUUAUAGUCGCAAAGCAGCUUCACAGAAUUCCAGAAAAGACCGUUUUAACAAGAAGUGCAAAGAAAACCCAGGUGAGCAAGCCAGGGGCGACAGUGGCAAGGAAAAACUGCCUCACAACUGAGGAAGAAACCUAGUAGUGGCAGGAUUUCUCUGUCCUCACAAAGUUCCCAACUUUUUUACUUCUUACCUGAAGUGUUACUCACUUACUGAUACUCGUAUUACUUUCUGUGUGUAUAGAACCCACAUUACUGCAGCUAACUAACUAAAAGCUCUUAAUAACUACAACCUCUCACAGCAUGUGUGACUUUAUUAACACUAUUGUUGUUACUGUUGUUAUUAGUAAUAGUAUUGGUAGUAAUAUUGUACCUUCUAUUGCCUGCACAUCUUCUAUAUUUCUGCAAGUAAGAGUUAAAUAAAAAAAUGUCUAAUAUUUCCUGUCUUAGUGUGAACGUGACAUCACAAACAUCACAAAAUGUGUGAACAGGCCAAUGAGACAGAGAGCAGUAUAAACAUUAAUAAGUGAAAUUCAGAACUUGUGAACUGGCCAAUGGGACAGUUGGAAAUAUGAAUAUUAAUGAGAGCUGGAAUACCUUUAUUGAGAAGUAGCAGCUUUACUUCAGUCUGGCUCAGGUUCUUUUCAGGAACUGAGUUGGGAAACAGAAGAAACACCUGCUCAUCUUCACUCACAUGUAAUUAUGAAGUGAUGAUCACUGGUUCACAGUAUUGAUCACUGGUUCACAGUAUUGACCACUGGUUCACAGUAUUGAUCACUGGUUCACAGUAUUAAUCACUAGUUAAUAGUAUUGAUCACUGGUUCACAGUAUUGAUCACUGGUUCACAGUAUUGACCACUGGUUCACAGUAUUAAUCACUAGUUAAUAGUAUUGAUCACUGGUUCACAGUAUUGACCACUGGUUCACAGUAUUGACCACUGGUUCACAGUAUUAAUCACUGGUUCAUAGUAUUGAUCACUGGUUCACAGUAUUGACCACUGGUUCACAGUAUUAAUCACUAGUUCACAGUAUUAAUCACUGGUUCAUAGUAUUAAUCACUAGUUCAUAGUAUUGAUCAUUGGUAUGUCUUUGUAUUGUAUUUGUGUAGCAUGUCUGAAGGUUUAUUGUUGUGAAUGUAUACAGAACUGUAAUCACUAAUUCUGCAUGUUAACACCUUGUAGACUCUUAAUUUGCUAAAGAUACUUGUUAUGCAUAACAAUACAAGGUUGUUAUAACCCUGCGUGUAUGAACAGUAAAGGCUGUUUAAAUUACUGCUUAACAUCUUCAAAUGAAUGUUUGACAAAGUAAACUAUUAAAAAUCCCAUGUAACUU